GACGAACGCUGGCGGCGUGCUUAACACAUGCAAGUCGGGCGGUAAGGCCCUUUCGGGGGUACGACGAGCGGCGAACGGGUGAGUAACACGUGGGUGACCUGCCCUCAGCUCUGGGAUAAGCCUGGGAAACCGGGUCUAAUACCGGAUAUGACUCCAUGACGCAUGUUGUGGGGUGGAAAGCCUUGUGCGGCUGAGGAUGGGCCCGCGGCCUAUCAGCUUGUUGGUGGGGUGAUGGCCUACCAAGGCGACGACGGGUAGCCGCCUGAGAGGGCGACCGGCCACACUGGGACUGAGACACGGCCCAGACUCCUACGGGAGGCAGCAGUGGGGAAUCUUGCGCAAUGGGCAAAGCCUGACGCAGCGACGCCGCGUGAGGGAUGACGGCCUG
Molecule: ribosomal RNA, 388 nt
Filed under: uncultured bacterium
Lineage: Bacteria
Description: bacterial SSU rRNA
Rfam family: Bacterial small subunit ribosomal RNA
Source: RNAcentral